RNAcentral lists this unclassified non-coding RNA (335 nucleotides) under soil metagenome. RNAcentral's name for it is "partial contains 5.8S ribosomal RNA, internal transcribed spacer 2, and large subunit ribosomal RNA". The stretch from base 1 to 120 matches the Rfam family "5.8S ribosomal RNA", at positions 35 to 154 of the family's 154-position model. The record is from RNAcentral.
GAUGAAGAACGCAGCGAAAUGCGAUAAGUAAUGCGAAUUGCAGAAUUCAGUGAAUCAUCGAAUCUUUGAACGCACAUUGCGCCCGCCAGUAUUCUGGCGGGCAUGCCUGUUCGAGCGUCAUUUCAACCAUCAAGCCCCCGGCUUGUGUUGGGGACCUGCGGCUGCCGCAGGCCCUGAAAACCAGUGGCGGGCUCGCUAGUCACUCCGAGCGUAGUAAUACAUCUCGCUCAGGGCGUGCUGCGGGUUCCGGCCGUUAAAAAGCCUUAUUUACCCAAGGUUGACCUCGGAUCAGGUAGGAAGACCCGCUGAACUUAAGCAUAUCAAUAAGCGGAGGA